AUGGAAUUGUCUCGCUUUACAAUUCUUCACAAUUUCUCAAUAAUCUCCAACAAAACUCACAAAUCCUCAAUCAAUUCACUCUCCUUCUCAAUUUCUCUCCGCGGGCACUCCCUCCGCCGCCACCUCACUCUCGCAGACCUCCCUCUUCCGGUUUCCUUCCGCCGCCACUGUCCGACUGGAGGUCCGACGAGCCUCCCGCCGUCUGCCACCAAGUCGCGGCCUCCUUCCUCUUCUCUUCGGGCGAUCGUGCCACAUACUCCCUAUGGUUCUCUCAUCGCAACAUCAUCACCUCAUCUCAUCUUCAAUUCUCCAUUUUUGAUUCUUGAGGAUACUUGCACGGUUGUGAUUUACUUUCGCGACCGAAACAUUGACUUUGCAUUUGAUGUCUUGCACAUAUUCUGA
RNAcentral lists this long non-coding RNA (402 nucleotides) under Vicia faba (fava bean). The record is from RNAcentral. Lineage: Eukaryota; Viridiplantae; Streptophyta; Magnoliopsida; Fabales; Fabaceae.